AUGUCAAGGCUGGCCGCCAGCCUCAGCUGUCCCGCAGAGGACGUGCCGGACCUCACAGUAUUGGGACCUGGGCUCUGUGGAAACUGGGACAGGCUGGACACAGUGAGCCUGGCAGGAUCGCGUCCGCAUGCGAAGGAUGGAGUGUCUGUGGCGGAUGGAGCAGCUUUCCCAGUUGCCUGGAGCUCAUCCACGAAGCAGGAUGUCAAUGUCUCUGGCAAAAAUGGCCAUUUACGACAGUGUGCUGUGUACCGGGGGUUUUCCCUUGUGUAUUUCAUCAUACGAAAGACUUAUUCCAGGAGUUUAUAUUACAAGUUGGUAUCGGAGCAGCUGCAGAACAAUCCCGAGGCACAGGAAGCUCUGGGCCCUCCUGUCAACAUCCACUAUCUCAAGCUCACGGGCAAGGACAACUUUGUGGACAUUGCUGAUGCCAAGUUGAAGAUUCCUGUCUCUGGAUCCAAGUCAGAGGGUCAUCUCCACGUCCACUCAACCAGGAGUGGCCCCUGUCAGAGGUGGCACCUUGACGAGGUCUUAGAGCUCAAGGAUGGUCAGCAGAUUCCCGUGUUCAACCUCAGUGGGGAAAAUGGUGAUGAAGUGAAAAAGGAGUAGAGACGACCCAGAAGACCCAGCUUGCUUCUAGUCCAGCCUUUCCUCAUCUCCACCAUCUGCCCACUGGUGUGGUGGCCCAUCUGAGUGACAGAUACUCCUGCAAGCCAGUUUUUCAGCCACCAGUAGGAUGACUGUAUGUGCCAUCAUAUGGUAAUUUUGGUAUAACUCUAACUUGGGCACAACAAAUGCUUUUUGUCAUUUUUAAACUGAAUCAGAAAGAAACUCUUAUAAAUUUAAGAUGAUUUAUUUGAAAGUGAUUUGUAUAAAAAUGCACACGAUAAAAGGAAUCAGAAUUAAAAAAAAAACGUUCGUUAAAAAAA
Molecule: RNA transcript, 926 nt
Organism: Sapajus apella (tufted capuchin)
Lineage: Eukaryota; Metazoa; Chordata; Mammalia; Primates; Cebidae
Gene name: cytochrome c oxidase assembly factor 1 homolog pseudogene
Exons: 2
Source: RefSeq, a predicted model, not a curated record